This is a long non-coding RNA of Dalotia coriaria, 1805 nucleotides long. RefSeq lists it as uncharacterized. The transcript has 13 exons. The record is from RefSeq and is a predicted model, not a curated record. NCBI's taxonomy places the organism in Eukaryota, Metazoa, Arthropoda, Insecta, Coleoptera, Staphylinidae.
GCAGUUGUUCUACUCGCGCCGGUGUGUCCGCAGACGUUCCUCUUGCAAACCUCGUUUGUUUUUGAAGUUCGUUAUCCAUUGAAAUUUAUCAAUUGAAAUUCCAUAAGAAAUUAAUUUCAACUUUACGUGCUACUCGGUAUUUAUGUUGUAAAUUCAAGGUGCGUUGCGUUACAUCUCUGGAAAAUUGAAUUCGAACUGCGGGGGACAUCUGUUGUAGUACGCCAUCGUUCCACAGGGGCUAAAUCUGAACCUGACAUCGUUGGAAAACCAUUCUUUCAUCAGAAUGUGUUUUGCACAUGAACCUUAUCAUCGGAAAACCAAUCUUUCAUCAGAAUGGGUUUUGCACAUGAACCUGACAUUGUAGGAGAACCAUUCUUCCAUCAGAUUGUUUUGCACAUGAACCUGAUAUCAGUGGAGAACCAUUUAUCAUCAGAUUGUAGGUAUUAAAUUUCUUUAUCAUUUUUAUUAAUAACUUUAGUGAUUAACUUAUAAAUUAACAGCACAAAUUGCAUUUUUGUGUGUCUAAAGACUAAUUUUGGCUUGUUUUAGGGCUUUACAACUGAACCUAACAUCCUAGGAAAAUCAUUCUUUCAUCAGAUUGUAGGGGUUUUGAACAUGAACCUGACAUUAUAGGAAAACCAUUCUUUCAUCAGAAUGGGAUUUGCACAUGAACCUGACAUCAUAGGAGAACUAUUCUUUCAUCAGAUUGUAGGGAAUUUGCACAUGUACCUGACACCAUAGGAGAACCAUUCUUUUAUAAGAUUGUAGAGGUUUUGCACAUGAACCUGACAUCAUAGGAGAACUAUUCUUCCAUCAGAUUGUAGGGAAUUUGCACAUGUACCUGACAUCAUAGGAGAACCAUUCUUUUAUAAGAUUGGGAUUUGCACAUGAACCUGACAUCAUAGGAGAACCAUUCUUUUAUAAGAUUGGAAUUUGCACAUGAACCUGACAUCAUAGGAGAACCAUUCUUUUAUAAGAUUGGGAUUUGCACAUGUACCUGACAUCAUAGGAGAACCAAUCUUCAAUUAGAUUGUAGGUAUUGAAUUUCUUUAUCAUUUUCAUAAGUUACUUUAGUAAUUAGUUUGUUAAUUAGCAGCAAAAAAAUGCAUUUUUGUGUUUUGAAAGACAAAUUUUGGCUUGUUUUAAAGGUUUUGCACAUGAACCUGACAUCAUAGGAGAACCAUUCUUAGGUGGGCUAGAAUACACGCAUAUGAAUGAAUGUAAACAAGUUUUUUUAUUGCUUUCAGCGAGCGUAUCUCAACAGCGAUAGUGACGUCGUGCAGUUGCUGUCGGCUGUGCAACUUAAGGCAUACGCAGUUCCAUUUUGGUUGUCGAGUGAAUCGCGCGUUUUCAGUGCGAUUACUUUCUGUUCUUCAAAUCAUAAUUAGAUAAAUUGCGAAAUGUUCAAUUAACAAUUGACGGCUGAAAUCGGAUGUGAGUGUGGAGUUAUCGGUGGUUCAGCUAUGCGCGUGUGAUGUUCCGUCGGCCGUCGGUGAUUGUUUUUCGCUUGUGGAAUUACAUUGCACUCGUGUUAAGCCAUGUAUAAAUAACCUGCGUGACCACACAUACUUAUUAAUAACUUGGAUUUAGGAUUAGUUCCUGCAAAUAGACAACGUUGGUGUCCUAGGAAGAAGUUUGUGAGUGCACGAUCCAUGCAGUUUACAAUAUGACGGGAGUGUUGGAGAUGCGCGCAUUUAAAGGCAAGUCUUUACUGCAACGGGUCUUGGAUAGCUGUAGAUAUUACUUUAUUUAAAAAAUGCAUAUAUUGUUAAAUAUAAUUAAUAAAACACAAUUUAAAAUUUCAA